UACAGAGGGGGCAAGCGUUGUUCGGAAUUACUGGGCGUAAAGGGCGCGUAGGCGGCCUGUUAAGUCGAACGUGAAAUCCCCGGGCUCAACCCGGGAACUGCGUCCGAUACUGGCAGGCUUGAAUCCGGGAGAGGGAUGCGGAAUUCCAGGUGUAGCGGUGAAAUGCGUAGAUAUCUGGAGGAACACCGGUGGCGAAGGCGGCAUCCUGGACCGACACUGACGCUGAGGCGCGAAAGCUAGGGGAGCAAACGGG
This 253-nucleotide ribosomal RNA is filed under the name uncultured bacterium. RNAcentral's name for it is "partial 16S ribosomal RNA". It matches the Rfam family "Bacterial small subunit ribosomal RNA", at positions 524 to 776 of the family's 1533-position model. The record is from RNAcentral.